GACGAACGCUGGCGGCGGGCUUAACACAUGCAAGCCGAACGGGUGUAGCAAUACAUCAGUGGCAGACGGGUGAGUAACACGUGGGAACCUUCCUAGGGGUACGGAACAACUCAGGGAAACCUGAGCUAAUACCGUAUACGUCCGUGAGGAGAAAGAUUUAUCGCCCUUAGACGGGCCCGCGUCGGAUUAGCUAGUUGGUGGGGUAACGGCCUACCAAGGCGACGAUCCGUAGCUGAUCUUAGAGGAUGAUCAGCCACACUGGGACUGAGACACGGCCCAGACUCCUACGGGAGGCAGCAGUGGGGAAUCUUGGACAAUGGGCGCAAGCCUGAUCCAGCCAUGCCGCGUGAGUGAAGAAGGUCUUCGGAUUGUAAAGCUCUUUUGCCAGGGACGAUAAUGACGGUACCUGGAGAAUAAGCCCCGGCAAACUUCGUGCCAGCCGCCGCGGUAA
Molecule: ribosomal RNA, 451 nt
Filed under: uncultured bacterium
Lineage: Bacteria
Description: partial 16S ribosomal RNA
Rfam family: Bacterial small subunit ribosomal RNA
Source: RNAcentral